Molecule: ribosomal RNA, 256 nt
Filed under: uncultured bacterium
Lineage: Bacteria
Description: partial 16S ribosomal RNA
Rfam family: Bacterial small subunit ribosomal RNA
Source: RNAcentral
UACGUAGGGUGCAAGCGUUGUCCGGAAUUAUUGGGCGUAAAGAGCUCGUAGGCGGUUUGUUGCGUCGGCUGUGAAAUCCCGAGGCUCAACCUCGGGUCUGCAGUCGAUACGAGCAAACUAGAGUGUUGCAGGGGAGACUGGAAUUCCUGGUGUAGCGGUGAAAUGCGCAGAUAUCAGGAGGAACACCGGUGGCGAAGGCGGGUCUCUGGGCAACAACUGACGCUGGAGGAGCGAAAUGCCGUGGGGAGCGAACAGG